Molecule: ribosomal RNA, 1365 nt
Filed under: uncultured bacterium
Lineage: Bacteria
Description: bacterial SSU rRNA
Rfam family: Bacterial small subunit ribosomal RNA
Source: RNAcentral
GAUGAACGCUAGCUACAGGCUUAACACAUGCAAGUCGAGGGGCAGCAUUUUAGUUUGCUUGCAAACUGAAGAUGGCGACCGGCGCACGGGUGAGUAACACGUAUCCAACCUGCCGAUAACUCCGGAAUAGCCUUUCGAAAGAAAGAUUAAUACCGGAUGGCAUACGAAUAUCGCAUGAUAUUCUUAUUAAAGAAUUUCGGUUAUCGAUGGGGAUGCGUUCCAUUAGUUUGUUGGCGGGGUAACGGCCCACCAAGACUACGAUGGAUAGGGGUUCUGAGAGGAAGGUCCCCCACAUUGGAACUGAGACACGGUCCAAACUCCUACGGGAGGCAGCAGUGAGGAAUAUUGGUCAAUGGGCGAGAGCCUGAACCAGCCAAGUAGCGUGAAGGAUGAAGGCUCUAUGGGUCGUAAACUUCUUUUAUAUGGGAAUAAAGUUUUCCACGUGUGGAAUUUUGUAUGUACCAUAUGAAUAAGGAUCGGCUAACUCCGUGCCAGCAGCCGCGGUAAUACGGAGGAUCCGAGCGUUAUCCGGAUUUAUUGGGUUUAAAGGGAGCGUAGGUGGAUUGUUAAGUCAGUUGUGAAAGUUUGCGGCUCAACCGUAAAAUUGCAGUUGAAACUGGCAGUCUUGAGUACAGUAGAGGUGGGCGGAAUUCGUGGUGUAGCGGUGAAAUGCUUAGAUAUCACGAAGAACUCCGAUUGCGAAGGCAGCUCACUAGACUGUCACUGACACUGAUGCUCGAAAGUGUGGGUAUCAAACAGGAUUAGAUACCCUGGUAGUCCACACAGUAAACGAUGAAUACUCGCUGUUUGCGAUAUACAGUAAGCGGCCAAGCGAAAGCAUUAAGUAUUCCACCUGGGGAGUACGCCGGCAACGGUGAAACUCAAAGGAAUUGACGGGGGCCCGCACAAGCGGAGGAACAUGUGGUUUAAUUCGAUGAUACGCGAGGAACCUUACCCGGGCUUAAAUUGCAACAGAAUAUAUUGGAAACAGUAUAGCCGUAAGGCUGUUGUGAAGGUGCUGCAUGGUUGUCGUCAGCUCGUGCCGUGAGGUGUCGGCUUAAGUGCCAUAACGAGCGCAACCCUUAUCUUUAGUUACUAACAGGUGAUGCUGAGGACUCUAGAGAGACUGCCGUCGUAAGAUGUGAGGAAGGUGGGGAUGACGUCAAAUCAGCACGGCCCUUACGUCCGGGGCUACACACGUGUUACAAUGGGGGGUACAGAAGGCGGCUACCUGGUGACAGGAUGCUAAUCCCAAAAACCUCUCUCAGUUCGGAUCGAAGUCUGCAACCCGACUUCGUGAAGCUGGAUUCGCUAGUAAUCGCGCAUCAGCCAUGGCGCGGUGAAUACGUUCCCGGGCCUUGCACA